RNAcentral lists this ribosomal RNA (221 nucleotides) under uncultured bacterium. RNAcentral describes it as "partial 16S ribosomal RNA". It matches the Rfam family "Bacterial small subunit ribosomal RNA", at positions 15 to 240 of the family's 1533-position model. The record is from RNAcentral.
GAUCCUGGCUCAGGAUGAACGCUGGCGGCGUGCCUAAUACAUGCAAGUCGAACGCUUCACAUUUGUGAAGAGUGGCGAACGGGUGAGUAAUACAUAAGUAACCUGGCAUCUACAGGGGGAUAACUGAUGGAAACGUCAGCUAAGACCGCAUAGGUGUAGAGAUCGCAUGAACUCUAUAUGAAAAGUGCUACGGGACUGGUAGAUGAUGGACUUAUGGCGCA